Molecule: non-coding RNA, 7341 nt
Organism: Rattus norvegicus (Norway rat)
Lineage: Eukaryota; Metazoa; Chordata; Mammalia; Rodentia; Muridae
Source: RefSeq, a predicted model, not a curated record
AUGAAGAGAAGAGGUAAAGGAGGGGGGGCGGGAGGGAGCGCUCCUGAGCUCCUUAGCUCCCCUGAGAGCUGCAUCACCUCUGCUGAGGAGGCUUUCACUCAGAGCUUAUGAUUCCUGAGCUCCCAUGUCUCAGGAUGCUGUUCCAUUGGGACACUGCCCCACCUCAGAGCUGUAAGGUUCCUGAGCUCCCGUGUCUCAGGAGUUCCUCUCCAUCCUCAUCCUUCAUCUUGCAAGAGUGAAUCCUCCCCUCUGUGAUUCCACAGUGCUUUUCCCACAAUCCUACAAAAAGCUUAGCUGUAAUUGUGAGUUAUUUAAUUAUCUACCUCUCACAGUAAAUUUUGAAGUCCUCAAGGGCAGAGUCCUUGUUUGCAUUUAUGUACCCUGGUCUAGCCUUGGCCCUUCUGUGGGCAAGUACUGUGCAUCUUUUAUUUAGGUAUGAACCUGUACCACAUUAAGAUAUCAUGAGCUGGGAGUCUAGGAAGACUGUGUAAGGAUCAAGGAAGUUUAUCUACUUAGAGAAAAAAUCCCGGAGACUGAAGCAACUGUAUUGAAGUAAUCCCCAGAGUUUGAAUUAACUAUGAAAGGAUACAACACAGUAGCCAGGUUAAAAGUAAUAUUCAAUUUCCAAAUAAAUGUUCUUAGAAACAAGAGACUUUAACUAGAUAAGGGAAGAAAGAGUUCAUAUUUCAACAAAAAGAUCCAGCUGGGGAAGGGAGACCAAACACAGCAUAAGCGAACUGUCAAGCAGUCAAAGAAAUGAGAGGAAGUGGAACCUAGAAUCGUCUGGGCUUGAGGCCUAAGUCCCAGGUUCCAGCAGGCUUUACCUAGAGUGAGUGAACACUGCAGUGCUGGUGUGGUUGAUAAAAGAGUCCCUGACUACAGGAGGAACUUAGCCAGGCAGGCCCAGUGGCAAUGCUGGCAUAUGAGCCGUUGAUACUUCCUUCCUGAGCCAACCUAGGUCUUCCAGCACGGCUAGAGACUGCUAAUGUUGGAUCAGGCAUUGGAGUGAGCCACUGAGAAAAUGACAGCAUUAUAUCUGGCUACUUGAAAAACAAUGAGAUGCUAGGAAGGAGGUAUAGAGGCUUGCCCAGUUCCCGUAGUAAACGAGUCCUCUUCUGCCAUUUGCCUGCCUCUGGGAGUCUGGAUUAUUGACUCUGUGCUUACUUACCCCCUCCUCCAAGGGUCUUGGUCGGAGUCACAAGCAACAUCUGGGGCCUAGUACAGUGCUCUCUACCCGUGUGGGUAUGGGCAUCGAGCUUGCUUGAGUUCAGGUUUUUUUGUUUGUUUGUUUUGUUUUUUAUUGCAGUUAUCCUUUUUGCCUUAUGGUCAAGUGCCCUCCUUUGGCUUCCCCCCGCCCCUCGACACGCACUGUAAACUGACCCCUUCGUGGUCUAUGUGCUUUGCCCCCAUAUAAGCAUGAGGCUUUUGUUUUAUUCCUUUGUGUCCUUUGUCCAGAAAGGGAGGUAGGUAUAGCAGGAACAGCAGAGCUGCCUCUAUGUAAACGCUGGGCGCCGUGCAGCUACAAAAGCAUCUCCUGUAGGAGGACCUAAUUGAGGACUGCCUGAGAGAACAAAGAUUUCUGGUGCAAACAAUGCUAGCAAGUCGGGAAGUAUUUUCUCAGGACCAAUGGGGCGUGGGCGGAGGGUAUCAAAGGAGCUUGCAGCUGAGCUCAGAUGAGCUUGCUACAGCAUUCUCACCUGCUCCUGAGUCUGUGUCUUGCAUGGCUCUGUGCCAACUCAACCCAAGCCCCAAGGGCAGGUAAGGUCAGGCAGCGAGCUGUCCAGAGCGCAGGGAACAGGGAGGUACAUACAAACCUGGCUUACUUUGCUCUAAUUAGAAAGGCAGCCAAUGAACACAAAGGUCAUGAACUCACAAACCUAUUAUGACUGAUACAAUCUUCUUAAAGCAGUACUGGAGCCCACCACGUUUUUAAACUGGUGGUCAGCACAUCAGGACCUGGCUGAGAGUCAGGCACACUUAAAUCUUGAAUAUAACCUUAACAUCACCCUAGACCUGCUGACCGGCCCACAGGGCAAACAAUAACCCAGUUACAAAAGCUACUAUCAGCCAACCAGCCUACUUCAGCCAGGUGGCCAAUCUGUCUUUCAAGGCCCUUAAGGCCUGCACUCCCAGAGAUCCCUCUGCCUACUUCCCUACAACAAUCUGACAAGUCCUUUAUGGACUUUCUCACAAGGACUACUGAGGCAGUGGAGGGAAGGGUCGAUUCAGGACCCACUCGAGACAUGCCUUUUAAACAAUUGGCUUGGGAGGGUCUUAAUGUUUCCACCCGAGACGCAGAGGUGGCAGUCCACAGUAAUGAUAGCCUUCAUACAUGGGUAGUGUCCACCAGAGACCUUGACCUAGGCCAGACCCUAUAGCAACUCUGACUACCUUUCCCAGUGCCCUCUUGGCAUCAGGCAAAGAUCUGAGGACAGACUUGCAGAGAGGCCUGCCUGAUGUCAUCAAAGAAGACCUGCUCAUCCAUCGUAAGGAUGGUGCCCAUGUCCUCUAAUGUGUCCCUGCCCCAAAGAGUGUGAGGGAUGUCAGCAACAACAAAUCCCAUCUAGGCGUCCAGUCAUGGGUGAAUGUGAAAACUUAAGGAGAGCCCACCAUUUAGUCGUCUUGGAGCAGUCUCCUCUUAUUGACAGGGCUGAGGGACACGCCUUUCGGAGCAUUAAGACAUCCUCAGAGUUUAUCAGAGGAGUUCUAAGACCUGCAGUCUCCCGCCCAGUGAAAUCCUUUAUUAUUGCAAGGACACUUUGUCCUUGGCCUACUGUUCAGGCAGUCUCUACAGAGAUGUCCUGUCUUUCUGCAGUCACAGCAGGAGCAAUGGCUGACAGGCUCUCCUUAAGUUUUCACAUUCACCCAUGACUGGACAUCUAGAUGGGAUUUGUUGUUGCUGACAUCCCUCACACUCUUUGGGGCAGGGACACAUUAGAGGACAUGGGUGCCAUCCUUACAAUGGAUAAUCAGGUCUUCUUUGAUGACAUCAUGGAACGUGAACAGCUCAAGGCCUCCUAAAAGGGGAUCACCCCCAAUUCUAAGGGACACCGCCCACCCAGGGCCUCCUUCCAUCUCGGUAUCUGACUCUCGGUAUCCACACUGCUGGCCUGGACGUCAGAUACUGAUAUCUGGGUGAACCAGCGGCCAAUCACUGAACCAAAAUUGUCCACACUCAAAGAACUGGUUGAGGAACAACUUAAAUUGGGCCACUUAGAGCCCUCGACCAGUAGACAUAACACCCUAUCUUUGUUAUAAAAAGGAAGUCAGGAAAAUAUAGACCCUUACGAGAUCUGAGAACUAUCAGUGAACAAAUGGGAGAAAUGGGGACUACUCAGGCGGGACUGCCUCAUCCCGGUGCCCUCCCAGCCUUCUGUCACAGACUGGUGAUGGAUAUGAAGGACUGAUGUUUUCCAAAUCCUCCUGGCACUACAGGACGGAUGCAGAUGUGCCUUUACAGUGUGGGAGCCUAGUAUAGAAAAGACCAGCUAAGAGACACCAAUGGACAUCCUCCCACAGGGAAUGAAAAAUAGACCCACCAUCUGCCAGCUUUCAGUGGCUGAGCUGUGCCUCAAGCAGUCCCUGAAGAUAUUUUGAUCAUCCGCUAGAUGAACAACAUUAUGCUGGCACAUCCUGAUUCAUCUCCUUUACAAGGAGUUACCUCACAGCUCCUAAGACUUAGAAGAGCUUAAUCUGUGGGCUGCCCCCUGAAAAGCUUCAGUCAGUGCCCCUGUAUGCCUCUCUGGGAUUCUCUUUCUAAGCAGAUUAGACCCCUGGCCUUCUCUAUUUCUUGGAAAGAGAUCUACUCCCUCAUGGGGCUUCAAUAACUAUGUGGGACUGUUAAUUGGUUAAAACCAUUUCUUCUGAUCCCAGAUUAAGAAAUGAGAAAUCUCUUCUCCCCAUCGGAAGGCCCCGAUAGCCCCUGACUAAAAUCACCCUUACGCAGGACGGUAAGAGACUCCUGCAGAAGAUAAUGGCCUGCUUGUCUGACAUGAGCCUUAAUAGGCAUGACCCUUUGAGGCCUUUGCUGGCAACAAUUAUUUGGGUCCUAGGGGCCCUGUGGCAAAAUGGCCCCCUCAUGUGACUGCACCAAGCUCACUCAGAAAUACAUAAGGUAACUUCCAAAUAUGAAAUCACCUUUAAGCUUGCUCUUAAGGCUUGGCAAGAGAAUUUGUAAUAAGGAACCUGAUAAGGUAAUAUUGCCCUUUUCUCUUAAGCACUCUCAACCCGUAAUGGCAGAUUCCCUUACUUUUCAAGAAAUGAUGACAGGCUUUGCAGACACUCCCCAGAUAACCACCUGGCGGCCCCUUCCCACUUACAUAUUGAAAUUAAGCCCUACAGCCUCCCCAGUUGUACCCUGAUCCCUAAGGCCACUGCCAACAAAGAUACGGGAUAUUACUAGAGGCCAGACUUGAAGGAUGUUACUCCAUCCUUCUGAACCCUGGAUCAGACCAAUUAGGGGAGUUGUUGGGACUCCUGAGGAUCUCUGAACUCUGUCAGACUGAGCCUGUCAUAUUUUCAGACAAUCAGUACGCAGUAUAGACUCUUUGAACCCUACCAUUGUCCUACACAAUAGUUAUAAAAGCCCAUACACGUCCUUAUGACUCCCUUCAAGGAGCCCUUGAGCACAGGGCACAGCACGGUUCAUUUCUCAUAUCAUAGCCCACUCCAGGCUGCCAGCAAUCUUGGCUAAGGGCAAUGAGAUGACUGACUUAAUGACUGUUGACCAGGGGUUCUUGGAACAGGCUAGACCAUUGCAUCAACAAUUUCUCCUUUCCUUGAGAAACUUAGAAAAGCACUUUCCAGAAUUAUCCAUGACACAAUGCAGACAUCACGCAAGAUCUCACCUCACUUGCACCCCAUUUGCACCGUGAGUGCCUCUCAAUAGGGGAGGUGUCAACCCAAGAAGGUUACUCCCCAAUGUUAUUUGGUGGAUGGGUGGGACUCACUAGCCCUCUUUUGGUAAUUUUAGAUAUGUACAAGCUAUUGUAGGCACUUGCUCCUCCCUUGUAUAUGCUGUGGCCUUGAUGGGAGAAAAAGCUUCCCUCCACAUCAAGGCUGUGAAAUCUGUUAUGUUGGUUAUGGGUGUUCCAUGGGCUUCCAAGACGGGUAAUGACCCUGCCUAUGCCUCUCAACAAUUCAGUGAGAUUAACCAUACUUUUGGGAUUGCCUAACCCUCAAGACCAAGUGAUAAUAGAAAGGUCCACUGGGACUCUAAAGGAGUUUACCUCCCCGGAAUCUAAACGUGACCCUCACUUAGCCCUGGGAAGAGGCCUUGUCUCACCUAAACUUCCUUACUUUUGAUGAUCAGGAUUAAGCCCUGCCUAUAAGCAUUGGGCCUUCCUACCCAGGAAUACCCGUCUACAUUGGUACAAUGGAGAGAUCUCCUAACGUCACGAUGGCAGUCACCUGCCCUCUUGCUGAUGUGUUUUUCCUCAGGACUCCACAACGCCAGGAUGGGUAAGCCAUGGAAGAGGAGGACAGGGAUGAAGCCUCCUCACCCUGACUGAAGAGGCAGCAUUUGUUAGAGAUGUGUCUCUACUUGCCUGUGAUCGUUUUCAUGCCACCCAUCUUACACUUUAUCAAGUACAAAAUGUUUCCUAGGCUCAUGAACCGCUGGCCCACUACAUUAAGAGAACCUGAUCCAACAAAUUCUUAAAGAGAGGAUAUCAACACCCGGAGAUGACACGUAGCAGGUAGUUGGCUGGAAUGCUGAGUGGUAAGUGUAGAGCGAAUAAGGGAUAGUUUUGGGUUUGUGUACAUAUUGAAAGGGAUAGAGACAUCUGCCCUCCAGGUACCCCUCCAGCCUGAGUGAGCUUUCUUGUUCUUUCCUCCUGGGAAAGACUCCUUGGGAUAGAAGGAUUCCUUCCAGCCAGCUGUGAGCCCGACUGUUUCCUGUGUCAUCCACACCCUCUCUCACGUCUCUGGCCAAGUUGGACAGGACCUAGUUAUGGUGGCCUUGCUGUUUAAGAUAGGAAGGACCUUUCUGGAACAUUCUGCAACAUGCUUUGGUCAAUUUCUAGAUAUUUCUGCUGGAAAGGCAGGAGGCAUUAGAGUUAAAUGUCAUCCUCUACUAAAUAUGGGGUUCUAAAGCCACUGACACCUAGGAGGGUGGCCCCCUUGGAGCCUGUACAGGGCAUACCCAGACAUCAAAUUCUCAGCACAAAGGAGAUUAUUACCCAGGAGGGGUACUGUGUGUGUGUGUGUGUGUGUGUGUGUGUGUGUGUGUGUGUGUGUACCAAAAAGGAGCAAGCAAAAAGCAGGUGGGUUUUUGUUUGGUUUUUGUUUGGUUUUGUGCAGGAGCAGGAGUGGGUUUUUAAGGAGAAAAAGGGGGUGGAGUCUGUGCUAAGGUGAGUUGGUAAAUUAAUUUUGAUUGCACGUUAGGCAAACAAUGAAUUUUGAUUUUUGGACCUUGGUGUUUUGUCUCAAAAUGAGUCAGAGGCCAAAUAAGGGAACAGAACUUGGGGAUUAAUUAUAAGAAAGCAAACAGUUUUUAGCAAGGGGGAGAAGGUUAAAAGGCAAAGUCUCUCAGCCCCACUUUGCCAUGUUCAAGCCUGUUAGACCCUGCAACGCCAGUGGCAGGAGAAUGCCCCUUUCAAGGCUCAGCUUGGUGAGGACAGUAAGAGGCAUGUGGAAACAGGCUGAGUUGAAGAUGAUACCACACAACCAGCUUUCCUUAGGGGAUGCUUUGAAACCAGGUCAGUUCUGCACAGGGAAUGAUGUAUACACAGCCCCUGACCUGAAGUGGAUGAUGAUCUCAGGACAGGCCUCGGAAAAAAGCUUUGGAGUCCCACCUAGACACCUCGCAUCCCUGUCCUUCAAGACGAUUUUCCUCCAGUUGGGCUGUCUCUGAAAUACUCCAAACUCAUUUCCUUCCAUAACUUAGGUAUAUAUUUCUCAUGUCCCAUAACACUCUUACUAUAUCACCUCCUCCCUUGUAUCUCUCUUGCCUUUCCUUCAAAAUCUUAUGUCCCAUAACACUCUUACUAUAUCCCCCUUUCCCUUGUACCUCUCUUGUCUUUCCUUUGAAAUCAUAUCCUAGGGGGUGGAGAGAUGGCUUGAAGGCUAAGAGAACUUCUUGAUGCUCUUCCAGAGGACCUGGGUUCAGUCCCUAGCAGUCACAUCAGGAGGCCCACAGUCACCAGUAACUCCAGUUUCAGGAAAUUGGACGACACCUUCUGGCCUCCUGAGGAGCCAGUCUUCCACUAGCAGCCUUCCGAUGAAGAUGAAGAACUCUCAGCUCCUCCUGCACCAUGCCUGCCUGGAUGCUGCCAUGCUCCCACCGUGAUGAUAAUGGACUGAACCUCUGAACCUGAGGGCCACCCCAAUUAAAUGCUGUCC